CUUAUUGUUCUAUAAGUUGCCUAUAAUCGAAUCUUAGAAUAGUGUGCACUGAAUGGGAUUAUAUCGAUUUUGUGUAACGGUUGGCAUCAUACGUUUACGAAUGUAGUGACUUCCUCACUUGAUGAAAAUCUCUGUCCUCCAAAUAAAACCAUGACCUUAGGAAAGGAAAGGAGUCCCUGGAAGCCGCAUCUGAUGAAUACGGCAGCUUUGGAACUUUCGGAACACGAAUAUGGUGUUCCGGGCAUGAGCAGUUGUAUCCACCCCGCGUGUUGCGGCAUACGCCCG
This is a long non-coding RNA of Varroa destructor (honeybee mite), 285 nucleotides long. Lineage: Eukaryota; Metazoa; Arthropoda; Arachnida; Mesostigmata; Varroidae. The record is from RefSeq and is a predicted model, not a curated record.